GGAAUUAUUCUAAGUUGAUAACUUUUUUCGAAAGUAAACAAUGAAUUGGUCCCCGUCGAAUUCAUAGCUAGCUAGCUUUUGAAUGCUACAUUUAAUUUCUUCAUUCAGUUCGUUUCUGACAAAAGAUUUUCCCUCACUAGUUCCUUUUCUAACCAACACACAUUUUUGGGCACAUAUAAAUCUGCAUAGAGGUUUACAAAAAAAAAUAAAAAAUACAUCCGCAUAGAUACGCAUGUAUAUAUUAUUCACUUGGCAACUUGAAUAUAACCUCUGCUUUUAUUUUAAUUCGAUAAAUACAAAUUUUGUCUUGCCAAAUUAAUGAAAAG
RNAcentral lists this long non-coding RNA (326 nucleotides) under Capsella rubella. Its description in RNAcentral is "long non-coding RNA (CRUB_LNC002830)". Lineage: Eukaryota; Viridiplantae; Streptophyta; Magnoliopsida; Brassicales; Brassicaceae. The record is from RNAcentral.